UACGUAGGGACCAAGCGUUGUUCGGAUUUACUGGGCGUAAAGGGCGCGUAGGCGGCGUGGUAAGUCAGCUGUGAAAUCUCCGAGCUUAACUCGGAACGGUCAGCUGAUACUGCUGUGCUAGAGUACAGAAGGGGCAAUCGGAAUUCUUGGUGUAGCGGUGAAAUGCGUAGAUAUCAAGAGGAACACCUGAGGUGAAGACGGGUUGCUGGGCUGAUACUGACGCUGAGGCGCGAAAGCUAGGGUAGCAAACGGGAUUAGAAACCCCCGUAGUCC
RNAcentral lists this ribosomal RNA (273 nucleotides) under uncultured bacterium. RNAcentral describes it as "partial 16S ribosomal RNA". It matches the Rfam family "Bacterial small subunit ribosomal RNA", at positions 524 to 796 of the family's 1533-position model. The record is from RNAcentral.